UGAAUCACCACAAUUUGCAACUAUAAUGUGAGUUGGACAAACAAUGGCAACUACUGCAGUAGAACCAACAGUUUCAGGGGCAAUAGGUUCAAAUUGAGCCUCAGAAUCAUCAGUAUUACUUCCUGUGGUGCUUUUGCAUGAUCCUCCUGUCUCAGCAUCAACUUUUAGAAAACAAUCUAAGAAGGCUUUCUUCCACUGCUCCUGCCAACUACUCCUAGUGCUUCCACUACACAAGCCUGCUUUUGCAAUUUUUAGCUCCUUGGCCAGAGCCAAAUGAAUUCGCUUGGCGCAAUAAUUAGCAACCUACAGAAAGAAAGCUCUUAGUUUUGACCACGCAGAACCUUCUUGGCUCAUUCAUAAACUGAUGAAUACGCAACUAAAGGAGAAUAGCAAGAAAAGUGGCAUUAAGCAUACCUGAGAGCCCCCAUGUCCAUCAUAGACACCAAAAAAGUGCGCAGUGAAGUAACGUAGUGUCUGGGUCAUGCCAUUAACAAGAUCAUCCAUUAGCAAUUGAGUAGGAAUAUGAAAAAAUCUAGGCACAGCGGCAAAAACAUCUUCCAUCUCUGGUCUCCUUCCACACGUAGAUGUAAAUCCCCAAAGUGGUAUGUUAUACAAUUCAAAGGUACUCAGGCUACCUGUCAUGGUGAUCUUCUUUUCUUCCGGCACAUCAGGAGGCACAGCAUAUAAUUUUGGAUCAGAACCAUAGCCAUCUUCACCCUUACUGUCUGCCUCAACUGAAACAAUAUCAUCCACAGGCUCUAAUUCAACACUCGUUUUUCUCACAUGGGAAUUUGCAAUCAUUUCAAAAUUACCAAUUAUUUCUUCAACAUCCAUUGAAUCCCUAUUGGAUUUAGUAUCAUCCAAAGCCAAAGGUUCCUCACAACAGAUACUCCUAGUUUCUGAAUCCAGAGAUUGAGAACAUAAAUUUUCAGGUAAUUGGUCAUCACCUAAUGGUAUUAAAGUGAAGUCCUUGCUUCCCUCAUUAAAGUUGUCCCUAGAAUUCACAUCUUCAGCAAUUGCUACAUGGCGAAUUCCACUCGGUGUACCAUUGGUGUCAUUACCCUCAUUCUUGCAAGGAACGGACUCAACAGGUGUAUUUGGCUUCCUUGCGGGGUUUGAUAUCAAAGUUGCUUUAUCUGCCAUACGCUUUAGCCCACAAAUUUCCAUGUGGGCUGUUACUGGUGACCUGUUGCAGAUCAUUUUGUCUAUGCUAAAUGGAACACCAACUGCAGGAGAUAUCUCCUCCAUGGAAUUCAUUUGACUUGCAACAAUAACCUGAAAUUUGGAACCCUCCAAAAACAAAAUAGAAAUUGCUACUAUGCUUAUUACUUUUUGUAUCUUGUAUUCUUUUUCUCAAAAGAAUUGCCUAUAUACAAGAAAGAAUGAUGAAGCCUAUGCAAGAUGCCAAUUGAAGAAGGCAGUAAAUAUGAUGGCUGAAUAAUGGACUACAUUCUAUCAUAUGGGAUUCAAAGCAAUAAAAAAAAUGCAUUAAAUUAAUCGAAAGCUAGAAAAAGAUGGCUCUCCAACCUAUUCAACCAACCUCGACGAGGGUAUUUCCCUGUCUUGACACAUCAACCAGAAGGGAAGAGAGAGAGAGAGAGAGAGA
RNAcentral lists this unclassified non-coding RNA (1606 nucleotides) under Hevea brasiliensis (rubber tree). The record is from RNAcentral. Lineage: Eukaryota; Viridiplantae; Streptophyta; Magnoliopsida; Malpighiales; Euphorbiaceae.